Molecule: ribosomal RNA, 466 nt
Filed under: Acanthocercus gregorii
Lineage: Eukaryota; Metazoa; Chordata; Lepidosauria; Squamata; Agamidae
Description: partial 16S ribosomal RNA
Rfam family: Bacterial large subunit ribosomal RNA
Source: RNAcentral
GUAACGCCUGCCCAGUGAGUCUUACUUAAACGGCCGCGACUAAACGUGCAAAGGUAGCGCAAUCACUUGUUCCGUAAAUAGGGACCUGUAUGAACGGCCACAUGAGAAAGAAACUGUCUCUUGAAGAUAGCCAGUGAAACUGAUCUGCUUGUUCAAAAGCAAGCAUAAUUUAGCUAGACAAAAAGACCCUGUGAAACUUAAAGCUAAGCAUUAAACAAACUAAUGCCAAACUUUUAGUUGGGGCAACUUAAGAUACACUAAACAUCUUAAACACUCUAAACCAACAAGUUAAAACUACUCAAACAAAAGACCCGGCACAGCCGAUCAACGAACCAAGCUACUCCAGGGAUAACAGCGCCAAAUUCUUUGAGAGUCCACAUCAACAAGAAUUCUUACGACCUCGAUGUUGGAUCAGGAUAUCCAAACAGCGCAGAAGCUGUUAACGGCUCGUUUGUUCAACGACUAA